This 21-nucleotide microRNA is filed under the name Populus tomentosa. Its description in RNAcentral is "Pto-miR7833". Lineage: Eukaryota; Viridiplantae; Streptophyta; Magnoliopsida; Malpighiales; Salicaceae. The record is from RNAcentral.
UAAUUAAAACUCAUACUAGAC